CCAGAAUGUUCCUUGCUGCAGAUGCAUUGGCCCCAUCUGCAGGUCCUCUUUGACACCUACCUUACUCUCUCCCUCCACUCACACUCUGAGAACUGUGCUCAGGGGCAGCGCUACAACUUCCACAUUGGUCUUUACAGGGCUUGAGUGAUUAUUUCAAGAACAGAACGCUGUGUGGAAACCUUUACCAUAUUUCGUUGUAUCUAAGACACAUUUUUUUUUUUUUGUAAUUUAACAUCUCUAAGGUUGGGUUAUGUUUCUUCAUCAUUGUCAGGUUGGAGCUUAAUCAGCAGCACUUUUUUUUAAUGUCACACACAGUAAUGGUGAUGCAUCUCACAAUUGAGAUCAUCUUAGACAUGAUGGAAUAUGGAAUCGUGUGCCUGUUACAAGCCAGGCUCUUGUCUGGGUUCUAGAGAUGGUGGAAACCAAGACAGCACCAUCCUCUAGUGGUGUUCACAUCCCACCACAGUGGAGUCAGGACUUUGAAGUCCUCCAUUGGAUCUUCUUGGAAGAUGAGGGAAAUGAGAGAGUGUGGAGAGAGAUUUUGUAAGUCCGGUCUGGAAGUGGUCAUUGUUCAGAAUCCAGCCACGUGGCUACAUGGAACUGUAAGCUGUCCCUUAGCGAAGAAUAAAACUGUGGACUGACCCCCACCCAUUUGCGAAGAAAGUACUGGGUCUUCAGCUUUCAUUGUUCAGCCGGUGGUCUUUGUGGACAACACCAGGGGCCCCUCCUGCUGAAGACUGUCUGGACUUCCUGAUUUUCACUCCUGUAUAAACCCCCUCCCCCAUUACUACCUUUGUCUCCUUGGGGAAAAAAAAAUGUUUUUCACUUAAGCAAAAUAAUAACUACCCAGUAUUUGUUUCUGGAGUGAAAUUAUAAACUUCAUUGUACAU
RNAcentral lists this long non-coding RNA (890 nucleotides) under Pan troglodytes (chimpanzee). RNAcentral's name for it is "long non-coding RNA NONPTRT006321". Lineage: Eukaryota; Metazoa; Chordata; Mammalia; Primates; Hominidae. The record is from RNAcentral.